CUUUAUGAACGGUUGCGGGACCCGUUGAUGUCGGGUUGAAGAGGUUAAAGUAGAUAGGAAUGUACGGC
RNAcentral lists this transfer RNA (68 nucleotides) under Pomphorhynchus rocci. RNAcentral describes it as "tRNA-Ile". Lineage: Eukaryota; Metazoa; Acanthocephala; Palaeacanthocephala; Echinorhynchida; Pomphorhynchidae. The record is from RNAcentral.